Molecule: unclassified non-coding RNA, 203 nt
Filed under: Hevea brasiliensis (rubber tree)
Lineage: Eukaryota; Viridiplantae; Streptophyta; Magnoliopsida; Malpighiales; Euphorbiaceae
Source: RNAcentral
AAGCACAGCUGCUUCUUCAACACGAGAACUAAAAACUCUUACGAGUCUGGUUUUCACUGCGAAUGCAGUUGUAGCCUGCAGCAUUUUCCAGUAAGGCGAUAGUCAAUGAUAGGCUAGUGAUACCAUUGUGCUUACAGAUGAAGCAUAUGAACAAGAAAUUACCCCAAUUCAGUAGUUCCUGAUGUCUCAUAGUUCUGUUGCUG